Molecule: small nuclear RNA, 117 nt
Organism: Lepisosteus oculatus (spotted gar)
Lineage: Eukaryota; Metazoa; Chordata; Actinopteri; Semionotiformes; Lepisosteidae
Gene: U5
Rfam family: U5 spliceosomal RNA
About the family: U5 RNA is a component of both types of known spliceosome. The precise function of this molecule is unknown, though it is known that the 5' loop is required for splice site selection and p220 binding, and that both the 3' stem-loop and the Sm site are important for Sm protein binding and cap methylation.
Source: Ensembl
ACACUCUGGUUUCUCUUCAGAUCGUAUAAAUCUUUCGCCUUUUACUAAAGAUUUCCGUGGAGAGGAACAUUAUGAGUCUAAACUAAUUUUUUGAUCGCCCUGCCUCACGGCGGGGCU